AGCUUGACUUAGAAACCUGUUUGCUGAUAGCAUUAUCCCCUUAUUGGAGUUCCUUUUUCGGUUGGAUGAUUGUACAAGUUCGGGAUCGCUAGAAAGAGGAAAUAGUUCAGGGAAUACCGCUGAUUAUGCUGGAGAGUGGAACCUGGUUGGCUGUUGGUUGCCAUGGAAAAUAUUUGUUACUGACUGUUUCCUGUGUUGAUUUCAUUGUUAAAGUUUUUCUUUGCUGCUGACUGCUGAGGGAAAUAAAGAAUGAG
Non-coding RNA from Pelobates cultripes (western spadefoot toad), 254 nucleotides. Lineage: Eukaryota; Metazoa; Chordata; Amphibia; Anura; Pelobatidae. The record is from the annotation of a GenBank genome assembly.